GUUCAGCGUUCUACAGCCCCAAGAGCUGGAAAUCCUCCUGGAGGCUCUUGGCAAACAGAGUUUCCUGAGUUCCCCCUGACAGAAGGACAGUGAUAGCUUUUGAGUGCUAGGAGAUCCUUUUAAUAGAUAGCCUUGAGUGUGUCCUUGUUGCACCAGUAGGCCUUGUCCAACUCCCCAUAGUCCAGGAGAUACACAUAUUAAAGG
Molecule: long non-coding RNA, 204 nt
Organism: Chiroxiphia lanceolata (lance-tailed manakin)
Lineage: Eukaryota; Metazoa; Chordata; Aves; Passeriformes; Pipridae
Exons: 3
Source: RefSeq, a predicted model, not a curated record